GACGAACGCUGGCGGCGUGCUUAACACAUGCAAGUCGAACGGAAAGGCCCUGCUUUUGUGGGGUGCUCGAGUGGCGAACGGGUGAGUAACACGUGUGUAACCUGCCCUUGACUUUGGGAUAACUUCAGGAAACUGGGGCUAAUACCGGAUAGGAGCUCCUGCUGCAUGGUGGGGGUUGGAAAGUUUCGGCGGUUGGGGAUGGACUCGCGGCUUAUCAGCUUGUUGGUGGGGUAGUGGCUUACCAAGGCUUUGACGGGUAGCCGGCCUGAGAGGGUGACCGGCCACAUUGGGACUGAGAGACGGCCCAGACUCCUACGGGAGGCAGCAGUGGGGAAUAUUGCACAAUGGGCGGAAGCCUGAGGCAGCAACGCCGGGUGCGGGAUGACGGCCUUCGGGUGGUAAACCGCUUUCGCCUGUGACGAAGCGUGAGUGACGGUAAUGGGUAAAGAAGCACCGGCUAACUACGUG
Molecule: ribosomal RNA, 468 nt
Filed under: uncultured bacterium
Lineage: Bacteria
Description: partial 16S ribosomal RNA
Rfam family: Bacterial small subunit ribosomal RNA
Source: RNAcentral